UACGGGGGGGCAAGCGUUGUUCGGAAUUACUGGGCGUAAAGGGCUCGUAGGCGGCCAACUAAGUCGGACGUGAAAUCCCCAGGCUCAACCUGGGAACUGCGUCCGAUACUGGAUGGCUUGAAUUCGGGAGAGGGAUGCAGAAUUCCAGGUGUAGCGGUGAAAUGCGUAGAUAUCUGGAGGAAUACCGGUGGCGAAGGCGGCAUCCUGGACCGACAUUGACGCUGAUGAGCGAAAGCUAGGGGAGCAAACGGGG
This 253-nucleotide ribosomal RNA is filed under the name uncultured bacterium. Its description in RNAcentral is "partial 16S ribosomal RNA". It matches the Rfam family "Bacterial small subunit ribosomal RNA", at positions 524 to 777 of the family's 1533-position model. The record is from RNAcentral.